GGGUCCUUAGCACAACAAGAGCAUUUGACUGCAGAUCAAAAGGUCACUAGUUCGGACUUGGUAAAAUCCU
This 70-nucleotide transfer RNA is filed under the name Capsicum annuum. It matches the Rfam family "tRNA". Rfam says of the family: Transfer RNA (tRNA) molecules are approximately 80 nucleotides in length. Their secondary structure includes four short double-helical elements and three loops (D, anti-codon, and T loops). Lineage: Eukaryota; Viridiplantae; Streptophyta; Magnoliopsida; Solanales; Solanaceae. The record is from Rfam by way of RNAcentral.